RNAcentral lists this ribosomal RNA (254 nucleotides) under uncultured bacterium. RNAcentral describes it as "partial 16S ribosomal RNA". It matches the Rfam family "Bacterial small subunit ribosomal RNA", at positions 524 to 776 of the family's 1533-position model. The record is from RNAcentral.
UACGUAGGUGGUAAGCGUUGUCCGGAUUUACUGGGCGUAAAGAGCGCGCAGGCGGUCGAUCAAGUCGCGUGUGAAAGCCCCCGGCUCAACUGGGGAGGGUCACGCGAUACUGAUCGACUCGAAGGCAGGAGAGGGUAGUGGAAUUCCCGGUGUAGUGGUGAAAUGCGUAGAUAUCGGGAGGAACACCAGUGGCGAAGGCGACUACCUGGCCUGUUUCUUGACGCUGAGGCGCGAAAGCUAGGGGAGCAAACGGG